CGUCGGUCUCCCCGCGGCGGCUAGUCGUAAACCCCGUCAGGCCCGGAAGGGAGCAGCGGCAGCGGUGAUGCCGGGCGCCGGGGCCGGGCUG
RNAcentral lists this signal recognition particle RNA (91 nucleotides) under Gammaproteobacteria bacterium. RNAcentral's name for it is "signal recognition particle sRNA small type". It matches the Rfam family "Bacterial small signal recognition particle RNA". Rfam says of the family: The signal recognition particle (SRP) is a universally conserved ribonucleoprotein involved in the co-translational targeting of proteins to membranes. Archaeal SRP consists of a 7S RNA and homologues of the eukaryotic SRP19 and SRP54 proteins. Lineage: Bacteria; Pseudomonadati; Pseudomonadota; Gammaproteobacteria. RNAcentral also lists the same sequence under 3 other names. The record is from RNAcentral.